This 397-nucleotide ribosomal RNA is filed under the name uncultured bacterium. Its description in RNAcentral is "partial 16S ribosomal RNA". It matches the Rfam family "Bacterial small subunit ribosomal RNA", at positions 523 to 918 of the family's 1533-position model. The record is from RNAcentral.
AUACGUAGGGGGCGAGCGUUGUCCGGAAUGACUGGGCGUAAAGGGCGUGUAGGCGGCGGUGUAAGUCUGGAGUGAAAGUCCCGCAUUCAAUGUGGGAAUUGCUUUGGAUACUGCAGUGCUAGAGUGCGGAAGAGGUAAGUGGAAUUCCCAGUAUAGCGGUGAAAUGCGUAGAGAUUGGGAGGAACACCAGUGGCGAAGGCGACUGACUGGGCCGUAACUGACGCUGAGGCGCGAAAGCGUGGGGAGCGAACAGGAUUAGAUACCCUGGUAGUCCACACUGUAAACGAUGAAUGCUAGGUGUAAGAGGUAUCGACCCCUUUUGUGCCGGAGUCAACACAAUAAGCAUUCCGCCUGGGGAGUACGGCCGCAAGGUUGAAACUCAAAGGAAUUGGCGGGG